CCCUUAGAUGUUCUGGGCCGCACGCGCGCUACACUGAUUCAUGCAACAAGUUUUGUCCUUGGCUGAUAGGCCUGGGUAAUCUUUGAACGUGAAUCGUGAUGGGGAUAGAUGAUUGCAAUUAUUCAUCUUCAACGAGGAAUUCCUAGUAAACGCAAGUCAUCAGCUUGCAUUGAUUACGUCCCGGCCCUUUGUACACACCGCCCGUCGCACCUACCGAUUGAAUGGUCCGGUGAAAUCUUCGGAUCUGAGAGAUGUCUGAUUAAUUUCGGACGCCUUUUGGAAAAGUUGUUUAAACCUUACCAUUUAGAGGAAGGUGAAGUCGUAACA
RNAcentral lists this ribosomal RNA (327 nucleotides) under uncultured eukaryote. RNAcentral's name for it is "partial 18S ribosomal RNA". It matches the Rfam family "Eukaryotic small subunit ribosomal RNA", at positions 1470 to 1796 of the family's 1831-position model. The record is from RNAcentral.